GCAAAGGGCUGUGUCCAGGCACUCCGCGUAGCAUCAUGGUUUUUGUCAUGUAACAACGUGCCAAACAUGCCCUUCAUGAGCCUGUCUGGGAAAUGAUGUUCAUCAAAUGAGGAUCCCACAGGAAGUCAGGAGAGCCGUGCAUCCAUGAUGGCCUAACCACCACACCAGAGGCCUUUUGUGUUUCUGCACACUUUACAAAAUAGCUCUAAGCCUGUCAUGGACCACAUCAAGGUUCACUGGUCCGUCAACAUUUACGGCGAGAUAAAGACAGAGAGGGGAAAAUUCCAGACUCUGGGGAGAUUUCCUUAAAAAGAACUGUUGUGACAUCCCCUCUGAUUCUGCUUUACAUCGUCUUAAGAUACAACUCGACCUCCG
Molecule: long non-coding RNA, 375 nt
Organism: Oncorhynchus tshawytscha (Chinook salmon)
Lineage: Eukaryota; Metazoa; Chordata; Actinopteri; Salmoniformes; Salmonidae
Source: Ensembl